Molecule: unclassified non-coding RNA, 333 nt
Filed under: soil metagenome
Description: partial contains 5.8S ribosomal RNA, internal transcribed spacer 2, and large subunit ribosomal RNA
Rfam family: 5.8S ribosomal RNA (bases 1-120)
Source: RNAcentral
GAUGAAGAACGCAGUGAAAUGCGAUAAGUAAUGUGAAUUGCAGAAUUCAGUGAAUCAUCGAAUCUUUGAACGCACAUUGCGCCCGCCAGUAUUCUGGCGGGCAUGCCUGUUCGAGCGUCAUUUCAACCAUCAAGCCCCCGGCUUGUGUUGGGGACCUGCGGCUGCCGCAGGCCCUGAAAUGCAGUGGCGGGCUCGCUGUCACUCCGAGCGUAGUAGUUACAUCUCGCUCUGGGCGUGCUGCGGGUUCCGGCCGUUAAAAGCCUUAUUUACCCAAGGUUGACCUCGGAUCAGGUAGGAAGACCCGCUGAACUUAAGCAUAUCAAUAGCGGAGGA